Molecule: non-coding RNA, 73 nt
Organism: Stegodyphus mimosarum
Lineage: Eukaryota; Metazoa; Arthropoda; Arachnida; Araneae; Eresidae
Source: Rfam
GCCUUCGUGGUGAAAUGGUCAGCACACUCAACGCGUAUUCGAGAGGACCGUGGUUCGAGUCCCAGUGAGGGCG